GUGGGGAAUAUUGGACAAUGGGCGAAAGCCUGAUCCAGCCAUGCCGCGUGUGUGAAGAAGGUCUUCGGAUUGUAAAGCACUUUAAGUUGGGAGGAAGGGUAGUAACCUAAUACGUUGCUACUUUGACGUUACCGACAGAAUAAGCACCGGCUAACUUCGUGCCAGCAGCCGCGGUAAUACGAAGGGUGCAAGCGUUAAUCGGAAUUACUGGGCGUAAAGCGCGCGUAGGUGGUUCAGUAAGUUGGAAGUGAAAUCCCCGGGCUCAACCUGGGAACUGCUGUCAAAACUGCUGAGCUAGAGUACGGUAGAGGGUGGUGGAAUUUCCUGUGUAGCGGUGAAAUGCGUAGAUAUAGGAAGGAACACCAGUGGCGAAGGCGACCACCUGGACUGAUACUGACACUGAGGUGCGAAAGCGUGGGGAGCAAACAGGAUUAGAAACCCGAGUAGUCC
This 450-nucleotide ribosomal RNA is filed under the name uncultured bacterium. Its description in RNAcentral is "partial 16S ribosomal RNA". It matches the Rfam family "Bacterial small subunit ribosomal RNA", at positions 354 to 796 of the family's 1533-position model. The record is from RNAcentral.